Molecule: non-coding RNA, 84 nt
Organism: Nitrospirae bacterium RBG_19FT_COMBO_55_12
Lineage: Bacteria; Pseudomonadati; Nitrospirota
Source: Rfam
GCCUUACGGCUGAAAGGCCGACGUAGCGAUACGGAGCGAGAAGUCAGCAGAGGCCGUAGUAGCUGCCAACAGUGAGCGAAGGGC